Molecule: ribosomal RNA, 427 nt
Filed under: uncultured bacterium
Lineage: Bacteria
Description: partial 16S ribosomal RNA
Rfam family: Bacterial small subunit ribosomal RNA
Source: RNAcentral
UGGGGAAUAUUGCACAAUGGGCGCAAGCCUGAUGCAGCCAUGCCGCGUGUAUGAAGAAGGCCUUCGGGUUGUAAAGUACUUUCAGCGGGGAGGAAGGCGAUGCGGUUAAUAACCGCGUCGAUUGACGUUACCCGCAGAAGAAGCACCGGCUAACUCCGUGCCAGCAGCCGCGGUAAUACGGAGGGUGCAAGCGUUAAUCGGAAUUACUGGGCGUAAAGCGCACGCAGGCGGUCUGUCAAGUCGGAUGUGAAAGCCCCGGGCUCAACCUGGGAACUGCAUCCGAAACUGGCAGGCUUGAGUCUCGUAGAGGGGGGUAGAAUUCCAGGUGUAGCGGUGAAAUGCGUAGAGAUCUGGAGGAAUACCGGUGGCGAAGGCGGCCCCCUGGACGAAGACUGACGCUCAGGUGCGAAAGCGUGGGGAGCAAACA